GAGCAGUAACAAAUACUUCAUUGAAUAUGAAAGAUUACAUUCAAGAAACAAAAGAAUCUUUAUUGAGAGAAGAGAUUCAACUAUCGGGUAUGUUUUACACAAUUCAAAUGGGACAUACAAAAAUCUACAACACAAUAAACUUCAGUUUCUCAUCUAAUCUUCAAAAUCUUCUGUUUUCUUGAGUCCAGCUUCAUGUUGGUAACGUCCUACUUCAUUUCUUGCAAGUGAUUCUUCCUGCAAAUAGAGCUUCAAAUGUAUCCGAAUCAAUUCUAUGAUUAACGAUUAGAACAGGACAAACAUUAAAGGUAUAUAAUAAUAACCAGUUGUAGACAAUUUUACUAAACAGUUAAUCAAGGUUUGCCUCAGAAAUAAGUGAUACUCAUCACUGAAAAUCUGAUAAUACGUGCAAUUGUUAAGGCACAUCAUUGGCAGAACCAACAACCCAAUUUUUUUUUUUAAUCACUAAUGAGUAUUAAAACAAAACAAAACAACAAACAAAAUUGUUAUCAAAAAAAAAAAAAAAAAAAAACAACAACCAAAUAAAAACUGAACAACACUAGAUCAAAGUUGAUAAUAUUUAAAAUAGACAUGUGCAUCAGAGAGAUUCCCAUCUAGACAUUAGUCAUCAUUCUCAUCUCCUAACUAGGAGACUCUGAUGUCCCUGUCUUUUCAUCAUCACUUGCGUUAAUCAGACAACCAAAUCAAAGCAGAAACUAGAAGAGCUACGAAAACCAAAUCAUUAAUAAGCUCAGAGAGUCCAGAGUAAAACAAGAGAAAUCAGAUGUGUAAAGAGAAGGAAAAAAAAUGCCUCAGAGUUGAUUUUUUUUCCUAGAGAGUAGAGACGCAUCUCUCAAAGUAUAUUUAACACCAUCACAGGCAUCAAAAUCACACAAAACCAAAAAUUCAGAUAAACAAUAACAUCCAAGAAACUUGCAAAAGAUCGAAUCUCAAACCAUAAACAUUGGUCAAUUCUAGGGUUGAUCGAGAAAGUGUUAAAUAGACGAAUUGCAGGAAUAGAGGCGGAGCUAAUUAGG
This 1034-nucleotide long non-coding RNA is filed under the name Arabidopsis lyrata. RNAcentral describes it as "long non-coding RNA (ALYR_LNC003026)". Lineage: Eukaryota; Viridiplantae; Streptophyta; Magnoliopsida; Brassicales; Brassicaceae. The record is from RNAcentral.